Molecule: long non-coding RNA, 161 nt
Organism: Gopherus flavomarginatus (Mexican gopher tortoise)
Lineage: Eukaryota; Metazoa; Chordata; Testudines; Testudinidae
Exons: 3
Source: RefSeq, a predicted model, not a curated record
CAGGGGGUGAGUGGGGGAGCUGGGGGUCCCUGGGGGACGGGCUGUGGGGCAGGGAAGGGGUCUAGGGGAAGGAGGCUGCAGAGUGGGAGUCGGGGGGGAUCCAGGGGUGGGAGGACCAUGGGGAGCUCUGGGCGGGCAGGAAGGGCUGCAGGGGGCUCAGG